Small nuclear RNA from Phodopus roborovskii (desert hamster), 107 nucleotides. Lineage: Eukaryota; Metazoa; Chordata; Mammalia; Rodentia; Cricetidae. The record is from RefSeq and is a predicted model, not a curated record.
GUGCUCACUUCAGCAGCACAUAAACUAGAACCGGAACAAGACAGAAGAGAUUAGCAUGGCCCCUAUGCAAAGAUGACACGUGAAUUCAUUAAGUGUUCCACCUUUUU